UGGAAGAGCAACAUCUAUGCAGCGAGCGGAGGACGGGUUCUUUUUCGGCAGCCGACAGAUUACGGCAGUGGUCUCCAGCAGGGAACGACAAUGGUUGGACAGGAGGUGGGAACCACGUCGGCUUAAGCGUUUCAGUUCUCACAAUUUGGCGCCAAACUUUUGGAGCCGACCUGUCAAGCCGUCCAGGGAACACGAGUAGAUGAGGAAUCCCAGCUCCCUCGACAGUAUCGUGGACGAACCUGCGGCACAUGACCUACUACAGCAGAUGACUUCACUAAGUAAGCCACUGCCGCGACAGCACCUCCUCGGACGUCCCGCUGCGCAUGAACUUGACGGUACCGACGCUUUCCAGCCACAGCGACCCCCAGGUCAGAAGACAUCCUCAUCGACUUGGACGGUUGCCAUACGGCCGUCCGGUCACCGACGAGACAGUCCUACACAGACCCGGCCGCAGCUGCUGACUGUCUGCCCUUGGUGACAUAUCUUGCACUUGUGAGCCCUUUGAAAAGGUGGGAGAGAGUAUGGCGAUAGCAAGGUGUUAUCGCUGAUGCCCCUCCCCCUACACGUGCAAUUUUCCUUUCUACUGCGAGGGAACCUGAAGCGAUGCGUCUUGACUGCAGGUAGCAGCUGACGGAUUAAAACUCAGUGGCCUUCUGCAGGGAACGGCGGUGUAUGCGAAUAAACGUGCUGUUGGUUAA
Ornithodoros turicata is the source of this 698-nucleotide long non-coding RNA. RefSeq lists it as uncharacterized. Lineage: Eukaryota; Metazoa; Arthropoda; Arachnida; Ixodida; Argasidae. The record is from RefSeq and is a predicted model, not a curated record. The transcript is spliced from 3 exons.